Molecule: ribosomal RNA, 503 nt
Filed under: uncultured bacterium
Lineage: Bacteria
Description: bacterial SSU rRNA
Rfam family: Bacterial small subunit ribosomal RNA
Source: RNAcentral
AGUGAACGCUGGCGGCAGGCCUAACACAUGCAAGUCGAACGGCAGCACAGUGGAGCUUGCUCCAUGGGUGGCGAGUGGCGGACGGGUGAGGAAUACAUCGGAAUCUGCCCAGUCGUGGGGGAUAACAUAGGGAAACUUAUGCUAAUACCGCAUACGACCUACGGGUGAAAGCGGGGGAUCGCAAGACCUCGCGCGAUUGGAUGAGCCGAUGUCCGAUUAGCUAGUUGGCGGGGUAAUGGCCCACCAAGGCGACGAUCGGUAGCUGGUCUGAGAGGAUGAUCAGCCACACUGGAACUGAGACACGGUCCAGACUCCUACGGGAGGCAGCAGUGGGGAAUAUUGGACAAUGGGCGCAAGCCUGAUCCAGCCAUGCCGCGUGGGUGAAGAAGGCCUUCGGUGUAAGCCUUUGUCCGGUAAGAAACGACCUCCGGAUUAAUAACUCUGGGGUAAUGACGUACCGGAAGAAUAAGACACCGGCUAACUUACGUGCCAGCAGCCGACGG